UAUGUACUCCCUCCGUCCUAAUAUUCUUGUCUUAAGUUUGUCUAAAAAUGGAUGUAUCCAAAUACCAAAACGUGACUAGAUACAUUCAUAUCUAGACAAAUCUAAGAUAAAUUUUUUGGGAUGGAGGGAGUAUUAA
This 136-nucleotide microRNA precursor is filed under the name Hordeum vulgare. Its description in RNAcentral is "microRNA MIR1122". It matches the Rfam family "MIR1120/MIR1122 microRNA precursor family". The record is from RNAcentral. Lineage: Eukaryota; Viridiplantae; Streptophyta; Magnoliopsida; Poales; Poaceae.